This 726-nucleotide ribosomal RNA is filed under the name Triticum aestivum (bread wheat). Its description in RNAcentral is "partial small subunit ribosomal RNA". Lineage: Eukaryota; Viridiplantae; Streptophyta; Magnoliopsida; Poales; Poaceae. The record is from RNAcentral.
AUGUCAAACAAAAGCUUGGACUACUUCAUUUUCGAUCCAAACAGGAGGACAUCAUUAAACUGGAUGAUACGACUUAAAAUAGUUGAAGGAAUAGCCCAAGGGCUUCUAUACCUUCACGAGCAUUCACGGCUGCGUAUCAUCCAUAGGGAUCUGAAAGCAAGCAAUAUUCUGUUAGACUCCGAGUUAAAUCCUAAGAUCUCUGAUUUUGGCAUGGCAAGGAUAUUUUCGUCAAAUGCCACUCAAACAAAAACAAGCAGGCUGGUUGGAACAUAUGGUUACAUGGCCCCUGAGUACGCAUUUGAGGGCCUCCUUUCCAUCAAGUCAGAUGUUUGCAGUUUUGGGGUAUUGCUUCUUGAGAUUAUAAGUGGAAAGAGGAGUGCAGGAUUUCAGCAUUAUGGAGAAGGAGAAUUUCACAAUCUUCUUCAAUAUGCAUGGCAGAUGUGGGAUGAAAAAAGAUGGCAUGAAUUCAUUGAUCAAUCAAUUGGUGAUGAAUAUGAACCAGGAGACAUGAUGAAAUGUCUCAGGUUGGCACUGAUGUGUGUCCAAGUAAAAGCAGUAGACCGUCCCACUAUGUCUGAUAUUGUUGCAAUGCUUAGCAGUGACGACAUCACCGUACCAGAGCCAAGGCAACCAGCUUACUCCUAUACCAGAGUAGAUGUGUCAGUAAACAUCAAUUUAUCAUGCACCAGAAAUGAUAUAACCCUCACCACUACUGAUGGUAGAUAA